Molecule: long non-coding RNA, 348 nt
Filed under: Ananas comosus (pineapple)
Lineage: Eukaryota; Viridiplantae; Streptophyta; Magnoliopsida; Poales; Bromeliaceae
Description: long non-coding RNA (ACOM_LNC003645)
Source: RNAcentral
AAAAAUCUACGGGGCCAACAUGUGAUAACAAUUCACUAAGAAAUAAAAGAUUACAAUGUGAUUACUGACUCCAAGAACUCAAAUCUUUCUUUUAUCUUCUUUGGAUCAUGUGCACAGCAAGGCUAGUCCACGCCAACACUCGAAUCCACGAACAACACGUCUUAAAUUUACGAACCGCUUACACUUCAAACCCACAAAGCCUCCAACACGUCAAAUCCACGACGUCUACUCGAAUCCACAAGCGCAACUCUGUUUGAAGUAAGAAGCAUAAGAUUGGUUAUGAUUUAUUGCUUAGAAGAAUCUUAAAGAUCUGUGGGAAUAGUCUCUAAGUACUUCUCAAAUUAAUUC